Molecule: ribosomal RNA, 548 nt
Filed under: uncultured bacterium
Lineage: Bacteria
Description: bacterial SSU rRNA
Rfam family: Bacterial small subunit ribosomal RNA
Source: RNAcentral
UAGGGAAUCUUCGGCAAUGGACGGAAGUCUGACCGAGCAACGCCGCGUGAGUGAAGAAGGUUUUCGGAUCGUAAAGCUCUGUUGUAAGAGAAGAACGAGUGUGAGAGUGGAAAGUUCACACUGUGACGGUAUCUUACCAGAAAGGGACGGCUAACUACGUGCCAGCAACCGCGGUAAUACGUAGGUCCCGAGCGUUGUCCGGAUUUAUUGGGCGUAAAGCGAGCGCAGGCGGUUAGAUAAGUCUGAAGUUAAAGGCUGUGGCUUAACCAUAGUACGCUUUGGAAACUGUUUAACUUGAGUGCAAGAGGGGAGAGUGGAAUUCCAUGUGUAGCGGUGAAAUGCGUAGAUAUAUGGAGGAACACCGGUGGCGAAAGCGGCUCUCUGGCUUGUAACUGACGCUGAGGCUCGAAAGCGUGGGGAGCAAACAGGAUUAGAUACCCUGGUAGUCCACGCCGUAACGAUGAGUGCUAGGUGUUAGACCCUUUCCGGGGUUUAGUACCGCAGCUAACGCAUUAAGCACUCCGCCUGGGGAGUACGACCGCAAGGUU